RNAcentral lists this ribosomal RNA (292 nucleotides) under uncultured bacterium. RNAcentral describes it as "partial 16S ribosomal RNA". It matches the Rfam family "Bacterial small subunit ribosomal RNA", at positions 505 to 796 of the family's 1533-position model. The record is from RNAcentral.
GUGUCAGCCGCCGCGGUAAGACAGAGGGUGCAAACGUUGCUCGGAAUUACUGGGCGUAAAGCGCGUGUAGGUGGUCACCCCAGUCGGAUGUGAAAGCCCAGGGCUCAACCCUGGACGUGCAUACGAUACUAGGUGGCUGGAGUCUCGGAGAGGAUAGCGGAAUUCCCGGUGUAGAGGUGAAAUUCGUAGAUAUCGGGAGGAACACCAGUGGCGAAGGCGGCUAUCUGGACGAGUACUGACACUGAGACGCGAAAGCAUGGGGAGCAAACAGGAUUAGAAACCCGGGUAGUCC